Molecule: RNA transcript, 5119 nt
Organism: Gossypium arboreum
Lineage: Eukaryota; Viridiplantae; Streptophyta; Magnoliopsida; Malvales; Malvaceae
Exons: 26
Source: RefSeq, a predicted model, not a curated record
CCCAAAAAAAAAAAAAAAAAAAAAAACUGACAAAACCCGAAGAGAAAAAAAACUUACAUUAAUGAAGCUUACAGAAGAAGAAAGAAAGCAAGCGGAAGCUAACCGGUUAGCUGCGAUCGCAAAGCGAAAAGCGCUACUACAAUCCUCCAGUGCAAACAUUCACUGUCAAGAAAACCAAUCUCAUUAUUGGAGGCUCGCCAAGUGCCCUAAACUCGCAAACGACAAUGCCCAGAUCCCAAAACGACCUCAAGAUGCGAAAUCGAUGCCAGUUUCCAGUACCCAAUUGUCUAAAAAGUUCCAGGCCAGGCUCGAAAUUUGCUCCCCUGACACUUUCUCGAUCACCCCGGAGACGCUGAAGGGUUGUCUCUACCCGGGCGAUGAAGAGUGCUUGCGAAGAUUGGGGGAUGUUUUAUCUGAUGUUAUGCACUCACAUUACACCCAAGACAGUGGAGGUCGAAAGGCAUGUGUUUAUAAGCUCAGGGAUUAUGGUUCUGUUUUGUCAUGUUUAAGGAAGUCAAAGGAUAUUGAGAUCAGGGAGAUACCUCAUUUAACACUAAAAGUUGUUGAAACAUUUUCACAUUGCUUUGUUGCUGGACAAUGGAGACCGUGUAGACCAGAACAUCUAUCUGAUGAGGACGUUGAUGAAUUAAUCACAAAGCUACCGGAAACACUAUUGAAUUCACUUCUGCCUUUUCAACUUGAAGGUAUCAAAUUUGGUUUGCGAAGGGGUGGUCGGUGUCUAAUUGCAGAUGAAAUGGGGCUUGGCAAAACACUCCAGGCUAUUGCUAUUGCUGGUUGUUUCAUUAAUGAAGGUUCUAUUCUCGUUGUUUGCCCUGCUGUUUUGCGUUAUUCAUGGGCAGAAGAAUUGGAGCGGUGGCUAUCCUUUUGUUUACCUUCUGAUAUACAUCUUGUUUUUGGUCAUCGGGAUAAUCCUGCCUACUUAAACAAAUAUCCUAGAGUUGUGGUUAUUUCUUACACUAUGCUUAAACACUUGCGGAAGAGCAUGCUUGAACAUGAAUGGGCUGUAAUAAUAGUUGAUGAAUCUCACCAUCUUCGAUGUUCACGAAAAUCAACUGAAUCAGCAGAGAUACAAACAGUUCUUGAUUUGGCGGAGAAGGUCAGGCGUAUAGUACUCUUAUCAGGAACACCUUCUUUGUCAAGGCCAUAUGACAUUUUUCAUCAGAUAAAUAUUUUGUGGCCUGGUUUGUUGGGAGUGACCAAGUACAAGUUUGCAGAAACUUACUGUGAUGUCAACUUUGCUCAGACCACUCAAGGUUUUAAGGAUUUCUCAAAGGGUGUUCGCUUGGAGGAGUUGAAUGUGUUACUUAGCCAAACAGUCAUGAUAAGACGUCUGAAGCAGCAUGUCCUGGUCCAGUUACCUCCCAAACGUCGGCAGCUUAUAAGGUUGCAUUUGAAGAAAUCCGACAUAGCUUCAGCCAAGGCGGCUGUCAGUUUUUCCAAUGCUGAUGCUUUUGAAAAUAAUGCUUCCAACGAUAUUGCUAUGGAGAAACUGGGUGGAAACAAUGUUAAUUAUGGACAUUUCUAUGGCAUUCACAAUUGCAAUUCUAGUGAACUUUCUUAUCAAGAACUUGGUGUUGCAAAGCUUCGUGGAUUUCAUCAAUGGUUUUCUAAUCACCCACUAAUUGCAAAUUCAGAUGGCGUGGAAGAAUUUGAUUUAAACUCCAGUUCUCAUAAAAUGAUAAUUUUUGCCCAUCACCAUAAAGUUCUUGAUGGAAUACAGGACUUCGUAUGUGAGAAAGGAAUUAGUUUUGUCCGUAUUGAUGGAACCACACUUCCAAAAGAUCGACAAUCAGCUGUACUGUCAUUUAAAUCACCAAAUGGGGCCAAAAUCGCAAUAAUUGGAAUAACUGCUGGGGGUGUUGGACUCGAUUUUUCAUCAGCAAAACAUGUUGUGUUUUUGGAGUUGCCUCAGUCACCAUCUUUGAUGCUUCAGGCUGAGGAUAGAGCUCAUAGACGAGGGCAAACAAGCGCGGUCAACAUUUACAUCCUCUUGGCAAAGGAUACUUUGGAUGAGUUACAUUGGCAAAAUCUAAACAAGAGUCUGCACCGUGUUUCAUCUACAACAAAUGGAAAAUAUGACGCAAUGAAAGAGAUAGAAGUUGAAGGCAUUUCUUAUAUGGUUACACCUGAUACAAAUUGCAAACAUAAAAUUUUGGUGAAAGAAACACCUGGAAAACUUUCAUUAGAUUUAGAGCAGCUGCAAGACCCUGCAUGUUCCCAGGAAUUGCAGCCUUCAGAAGCAUUUGCUGAUGUUGCUGUUGAAAUGAAUGAUGGAUCUGACACAAUGAAUCAAACUGGUGACAGCUACAAUAACAGUGAUGUUAAAGGCAUUUCUGAUAUGGUAACACCUUAUGCAAAUUGUAAGCAAAAAAUUUUGAUGAAAGAAGCACCUGGAAAACUUUCACUGGAUUUAGAGCAGCAGCAAGACCCUGAAUAUUCCCAGGAUUUGCAGCCUUCAGAAGCAUUUGCUAAUGUUGCUGUUGAAAUGAAUGACGGAUCUGACACAAUGAAUCAAACUGGUGACAGCUACAGUCAUAAUGAUGCUGGUGUGGUUCCUGAUCGACAACUCCAAGAUCUUAAUUCCAUGGGAAAUGAAAAAGAAUUGCAUCCUUCUGCAGCUGAUAUUGGAAGAUGUGACGUAUGCCCUCCUUUUAAAAUGGAUAACAGAAGCAAAGAUCAAGAGCCACUGCCAAAUGGAAAGAUAACCACAGCAGAUGUUGGUGCACCAGUUCAACCAUCAGACGCUGAAUGUAAUUCUAUUCAAGUUGAUUCUCUACGGUUUGAGGUAAGUGCCCAUACUGGAAGAAUCCACCUGUAUUCCUGCAUCCAAGGGAAAGAUUUGAGACCUGUGCCACUUUUUGAGAAUUUUCGACAAGAGGAAAUUGAGUUAGAAAAUGCUCUUGCUUGUGGGAGUAAGGAAACAGUUUCCAAAUAUUUCAAGGACAACCCCGCAUAUAGGCAUGUUCUUUGGGCCUUCAUUGAUGAAUGGAAUAAUCUAAGACCCAUUGAACAAAGAAAACUACGUGGAAAGCCUUUGCAACUCCCUUUGUCUGUUGAGUUAUGCUACUUGAAGGAAAGCAUUAACCAUAAUACUGGGGGACUGCUAAAAGGUGGGAGCAAGCGCCGCACAACACCUUUUUGUGAGAUAAAUGUUUCUUUGCCUCCAAAUGCUGUGUGGAAAAAGGUCCAUCUACAGCGUAGUUACAGUAAAAAGGAGAAAGAGUAUACUCAGGGUUGGUCGCUGACUGAUGAACCACUCUGUAAACUCUGCCAAAAACCAUGCGAGGGGAGAAAUGCCAAGAGUCCCGAAUAUUUUGAGGAUCUUUUUUGUAAUCUUGGCUGCUAUGAAGAAUACCGCCUAAGAACUAGCAGCAGUUUCAUCCGUGAGGAACUUUUUCAACUUGAGCACGGUAUCUGCACAAAUUGCCAAUUAGACUGUCACCAACUUGUGAAGCACUUAAAACCUUUAUCGUUAGAGAGGCAGCGGGAGUAUAUUGCAAGAGUAGCACCAAAGAUUGCAAGUCAGAAGAGCUUGGUUGACAAGCUUGUUAGUGAUCCUUCCGAGGGCAAUGCAUGGCAUGCAGACCACAUUGUCCCUGUUUAUAGAGGUGGAGGUGAAUGCAGGCUAGAGAACAUGAGGACUCUUUGUGUGGCCUGUCAUGCUGUUGUUACUGCAGCACAAUGCAUUGAACGUCGUUCAAUUCGGACCAAAGCAAAGAAAAAGCUUAAAGCCAUCAUGGCUGACCUCAAAAAAGCUGAGAAUAUGGAAAAGAAUUCUUCUUGUGGAAAGGAUCAGGGACCCUCAGAGAUUGUUGAGGACAUACCAGAGGAUGAACUUCUAGUCAAUGUACCUGGUAGUGCUUAUUCUGGAGGACUAAACUGCAGCAUUCAAUCUGAGUUGAAGAAUCCCCCAAACACUUAAUGGUCAUCAAACUGAAAAGUGAAAAAGCAUCCUCCAUUUCAUCCUAUAAUCCUAUAAUGUCUUGCAUUGGCUGACUUGAACUCAUCCCUUUUGAUCUGUUGUGUACAACAUCGACACAAUCUUCCAACAGAGGAACGAAGUGCAUAUAAAUAUGGGUGCUGCCUUAAGCAUAUGGGUUGAGCGGCACGUCUGAGACCUAACAGGCUCGAUCCAUGUUAGAAUUAAGUGAUCUGAAUCCUUAUUAAAAUAAAAUACAAUAAUAAAAUAAAAUAAAAGGAAAAUUCAUAUAGAACUAUACUUCUUUUAUUUUAUUUUAGAAUAAGAUUUUUCAAUCUUAUUACACUUCAUCUAUUUGAUAUUGAUUAGAAUAAAGUGUUUCAAUCUUACUACAAUCAUUCUAUUAUAAUAUGGUUUUACAAGCCUAUAAAUAGGCAUAAUUUACUCUUCUUGUAAUUAUUUGAAUUUGACAUAGUGAAUUAUCUUUUUCUCUGUCCGUGAUUUUUUUCGGAAAGGGUUUUCAGGUAAAAAUCUGUUUUCUUUAUUUUUCUCUUUUUCUUUGCGAUACUUUGUCAUUAUCAACGUUUUAUUUUUUACAAAUUGGUAUUAGAGCUUCUGGGUUAUUCAUUUCUAUCAUGGCAAUGGCGUCUUUAAAGUAUGAAAUUAUGUUAUUGGAUCGCAACACUAGAUUCGCGUUGUGGCAGAUAAAGAUGCAGACAGUUCUUACACAGACAAACUUAGAGGAUGCCCUACUAAAGAUAAAUAUGAUGCCUUCAACAUUGACGGAGGAAGAGAAAUGUAAAUAUCGAAAGGCGUUAACACAGUUACAUCUGCAUUUGUCUAACGAAAUUUUGCAGGAUGUGACGAAGGAAAAGAUUGCCGCUACAUUAUGAAAGAGACAAACAAAUAUGUAUGUCAAAAACUCUAAUCAGCAAGUUGCAAAUAAAGCAGUGUCUUUAUACUCAUCGUUUGGAGGAAGGUGCGUCUUUGCACGUACAUUUGAAGGCCAUAAAAGUUCAAUAUGAUAAGGAAGAUUUAGGAUUGAUUCUACUUUAUUUGUUGCCUCCAUCUUAUUCAACUUUUAAAGACACGAUUUUAUAUAGCUGUGAGUGUCUCACAGUUGAUGAAGUUUAUGAUUCUUUGACCUCGUAUGAUAAAAUGAAGUAUCUUGUGGUUAAA